UAUCCUGAGACGCGAGUCCGUGACCGAAAGGUCUGAAGUUGUUGAGUCUAUGCUGCCUAGAAAAGCUUCUAAGUAUAGGACACGCAAACCGUACCGGAAACCAACUCAGGUGGGUGGGAUGAAUAAUCCAAGGCGCUCGAGAGAACUCUGGCCAAGGAACUCGGCAAAAUAACCCCGUACCUUCGGAAGAAGGGGUGCUUUUUAGGGUGAAGCGAUUCACUCUGUCGAGCCCUGAAAAGCCGCAGAGAAAUGGUGGUGGCGACUGUUUACUAAAAACAUAGGUCUGUGCCAAGUCGUAUAGACGACGUAUACGGACUGACGCCUGCCCGGUGCUGGAAGGUUAAAAGGAGGAGUCAGCGCAAGCGAAGCUCCGAAUUGAAGCCCCAGUAAACGGCGGCCGUAACUAUAACGGUCCUAAGGUAGCGAAAUUCCUUGUCGGGUAAGUUCCGACCUGCACGAAUGGCGUAACGAUCUCCACACUGUCUCGGCCAGAGACUCGGUGAAAUUGAAGUCGCGGUGAAAAUGCCGUGUACCCGCAGAAAGACGGAAAGACCCUGUGCACCUUUACUAUAGCUUGACAUUGGGAUUUGAGCCUGCAUGUGUAGCAUAGGUGGGAGGCUGUGAACUCUGUACGCCAGUAUGGAGGGAGCCAUCGUUGAAAUACCACCCUUGUUUGUUCAGGUCCCUAACUCUUCGCCGUGAUCCGGUAAGAGGACAGUGUCUGGUGGGUAGUUUGACUGGGGCGGUCGCCUCCCAAAAUGUAACGGAGGCAUGCAAAGGUUCCCUCAGGCUGAUUGGAAACCAGCCGUCGAGUGCAAACGCAAAAGGGAGCUUGACUGCAAGAGAGACAUCUCGAGCAGGUACGAAAGUAGGUGUUAGUGAUCCGGUGAUCCCGAAUGGAAGGGUCAUCGCUCAUUGGAUAAAAGGUACGCCGGGGAUAACAGGCUGAUCGCAUCCAAGAGUUCACAUCGACGAUGCGGUUUGGCACCUCGAUGUCGGCUCAUCACAUCCUGGGGCUGAAGCAGGUCCCAAGGGUACGGCUGUUCGCCGUUUAAAGUGGUACGCGAGCUGGGUUUAAAACGUCGUGAGACAGUUUGGUCCCUAUCUUCUGUGGGCGUAGGAGAAUUGAAAGGGCCUGUCCCUAGUACGAGAGGACCGGGAUGGACACACCACUGGUGGACCUGUUGUCGUGCCAACGGCACAGCAGGGUAGCUAUGUGUGGAAGGGAUAACCGCUGAAAGCAUCUAAGCGGGAAGCCUGCCUUAAGAUAAGUUCUCCCUGACGCAAGUCCUGAAGGGCCGAGGUAGACGACCUCGUUGAUAGGCUGGAGGUGGAAGCCCUGUGAGGGGUGGAGCUGACCAGUACUAAUAGCCCGUGCGUCUUGUUU
Molecule: ribosomal RNA, 1387 nt
Filed under: Desulfovibrio piger
Lineage: Bacteria; Pseudomonadati; Thermodesulfobacteriota; Desulfovibrionia; Desulfovibrionales; Desulfovibrionaceae
Description: partial 23S ribosomal RNA
Rfam family: Bacterial large subunit ribosomal RNA
Source: RNAcentral